GACGAACGCUGGCGGCGUGCUUAACACAUGCAAGUCGAACGGAAAGGCCCUGCUUUUGUGGGGUGCUCGAGUGGCGAACGGGUGAGUAACACGUGAGUAACCUGCCCUUGACUUUGGGAUAACUUCAGGAAACUGGGGCUAAUACCGGAUAGGAGCUCCUGCUGCAUGGUGGGGGUUGGAAAGUUUCGGCGGUUGGGGAUGGACUGGCGGCUUAUCAGCUUGUUGGUGGGGUAGUGGCUUACCAAGGCUUUGACGGGUAGCCGGCCUGAGAGGGUGAACGGCCACAUUGGGACUGAGAUACGGCCCAGACUCCUACGGGAGGCAGCAGUGGGGAAUAUUGCACAAUGGGCGGAAGCCUGAUGCAGCAACGCCGCGUGCGGGAUGACGGCCUUCGGGUUGUAAACCGCUUUCGCCUGUGACGAAGCGUGAGUGACGGUAAUGGGUAAAGAAGCACCGGCUAACUACGUG
This 468-nucleotide ribosomal RNA is filed under the name uncultured bacterium. RNAcentral describes it as "partial 16S ribosomal RNA". It matches the Rfam family "Bacterial small subunit ribosomal RNA", at positions 28 to 507 of the family's 1533-position model. The record is from RNAcentral.